GAUGAACGCUGGCGGCGUGCCUAAUACAUGCAAGUCGAGCGAACAGACGAGGAUCUUGCUCCUCUGACGUUAGCGGCGGACGUGUGAGUAACACGUGUAUAACCUACCUAUAAGACUGGUAUAACUUCGGGAAACCGGAGCUAAUACCGGAUAAUAUAUUGAACCGCAUUGUUCAAUAGUGAAAUACGGUUUUGCUGUCACUUAUAGAUGCAUCCCCUCGUCAUUAGCUAGUUGGUAAGUUAACGGCUUACCAAGGCAACGAUGCGUAUCCGACCUGAGAGGGGGAUCGGCCACACUGGAACUGAGACACGGUCCAGACUCCUACGGGAGGCAGCAGAAGGGAAUAUUCCGCAAUGGGCGAAAGCAUGACGGAGGAAGGCCGAGUGAGUGAUGAAGGUCUUGGGAUCGUAAAACUCUGUUAUUAGGGAAGAACAAAUGUGUAAGUAACUAUGCACGAAUUGACGGUACCUAAUAAGAAAGCCACGGCUAACUACGUG
This 497-nucleotide ribosomal RNA is filed under the name uncultured bacterium. RNAcentral describes it as "partial 16S ribosomal RNA". It matches the Rfam family "Bacterial small subunit ribosomal RNA", at positions 28 to 507 of the family's 1533-position model. The record is from RNAcentral.